This 768-nucleotide ribosomal RNA is filed under the name Salmonella enterica subsp. enterica serovar Enteritidis. Its description in RNAcentral is "partial 23S ribosomal RNA". It matches the Rfam family "Bacterial large subunit ribosomal RNA", at positions 733 to 1503 of the family's 2925-position model. Lineage: Bacteria; Pseudomonadati; Pseudomonadota; Gammaproteobacteria; Enterobacterales; Enterobacteriaceae. The record is from RNAcentral.
GCCAUGGGCAGGUUGAAGGUUGGGUAACACUAACUGGAGGACCGAACCGACUAAUGUUGAAAAAUUAGCGGAUGACCUGUGGCUGGGGGUGAAAGGCCAAUCAAACCGGGAGAUAGCUGGUUCUCCCCGAAAGCUAUUUAGGUAGCGCCUCGUGAAUUCAUCUCCGGGGGUAGAGCACUGUUUCGGCUAGGGGGCCAUCCCGGCUUACCAACCCGAUGCAAACUGCGAAUACCGGAGAAUGUUAUCACGGGAGACACACGGCGGGUGCUAACGUCCGUCGUGAAGAGGGAAACAACCCAGACCGCCAGCUAAGGUCCCAAAGUCAUGGUUAAGUGGGAAACGAUGUGGGAAGGCCCAGACAGCCAGGAUGUUGGCUUAGAAGCAGCCAUCAUUUAAAGAAAGCGUAAUAGCUCACUGGUCGAGUCGGCCUGCGCGGAAGAUGUAACGGGGCUAAACCAUGCACCGAAGCUGCGGCAGCGACACUGUGUGUUGUUGGGUAGGGGAGCGUUCUGUAAGCCUGUGAAGGUGUGUCGUGAGGCAUGCUGGAGGUAUCAGAAGUGCGAAUGCUGACAUAAGUAACGAUAAAGCGGGUGAAAAGCCCGCUCGCCGGAAGACCAAGGGUUCCUGUCCAACGUUAAUCGGGGCAGGGUGAGUCGACCCCUAAGGCGAGGCCGAAAGGCGUAGUCGAUGGGAAACGGGUUAAUAUUCCCGUACUUGGUGUUACUGCGAAGGGGGGACGGAGAAGGCUAUGUUGGCCGGGCGACGGUU